Molecule: non-coding RNA, 22 nt
Filed under: Rattus norvegicus (Norway rat)
Lineage: Eukaryota; Metazoa; Chordata; Mammalia; Rodentia; Muridae
Source: RNAcentral
AUUUUACCUUGUGCUGUACCCU